AUUUCUACGAUACGGUUGUUCGAGGAACUAUAUGAGAUUAUGAGAGUUAUUAUUAUCAUUUAACUAUUUAACCCUCUAUUGAUUAACUAUUUCACAACUAUAGAUAGAAAAGAGAGGAUUUCAGUCUGCACUACCACUUCAAUUGGAUAGAAAAACGGACAGCCAAUGAAAAGAAAAAAGAAGAAAUAAAGACAUAGUAAAAUAGAAAACAAAGUCACGGGGUUUUUUUUAUUAUUUUUAUUUUGGGUUCUCAUUUUCGGUUUUUUUCACACUUUUUUUCCUUUGUGUCAAUAAAACAUGGUUACUUGAUUUCUGUCCUACUUUCAUCCUUCGAGGGAGGAAAUCAACUGCAAACAUGGUUUCCGAGCCCAAAUAGUUGCUUCGUUUUCCUGCUUCCAACUCAUGCUUUCGACCAUUCCCAUUCUUUAAGGGGCGAGUUCUUGACAUAAUGGAUCAUAGAUAAAGAGAAAAAAGAGGGGAAAAAUUCAGAACAAGGCAGGAAGGUGAAAUGUCAUAAGUAUCGAUGGGAAGACCAUGCACUCCAGAUGGAUAUAGUAAAAGAAAACGAGUUAUGCUAUUCCUGGCGUAUACAUCAAGCGAAGGUAAAUAAAAAGGGGAAGAGGUGGCAGAGAGGAGGGUGGGACGAAGCAUGACGAAGGGGAGGUAAGAAAGGAACAGGUAACACUAUUCGAAUGAAAAUAAAAACAAAAAUAAAAAUAAAACGUUACGUGAAAUAAAUAUUAAUUCGAUAUCUGUAGAGAAAGAAAUAAGUUUCUCAAGUCUUAUUCCUCGAGUCAUGUAGUCAUAAUUAAUAAGACGACGUAAGGGUCCCCGUAUCCCCAAUAUCGACCCGAACGCCGAUGCUGAUCUAAGCUUUGUUUUCAGGGCAAAAUGGAAAGUGAAACAUAUCAAGAAAAACAAUAAGAAGGCAGGGGAAUUAGGGGCAAAGGUAGAACAUAUCAUGGAGUAGCAGUUGAAUAAAACUAGCUCUGAAAUCGUUGACUCGUUUUCUCGUGGGUUCUGAAUAUAUUUAUGAACGGGAAUACCUUUAUUCACAGGUGAUGGUAAACACAUAGGUCGCUCGAGGGAAGGGGCUAAUGGUUGCAAAGGGUGGGUGGAAUAAGUAAGGGGAAGGGCAAAAGGAACAACUCAGAAGAAACAACGGAACGUGAAGACAGAAUUAUCGUUGUUAUCGAAGCAGGCCCUCAGCAAUAUCAGGGACUGACUCGUCUUGGCUAGGCUCGCUCAUCGCUUGCUGGUCUGUUUCCAGAUCUUCUGCCGUAAGACGUUGUACCCGUUCCCGUUGCGAGGCUUGCUGGGAGGAGGCGUUACCAGGAUUCCCUCGAUAGUAGACGGAGUCGUCAAAAACAUUCAAUUGCUCUAGCUCCUCAUAAUCCGG
Molecule: small RNA, 1399 nt
Filed under: Histoplasma capsulatum
Lineage: Eukaryota; Fungi; Ascomycota; Eurotiomycetes; Onygenales; Ajellomycetaceae
Also listed under: 1 other name
Description: hypothetical RNA
Source: RNAcentral